This 413-nucleotide ribosomal RNA is filed under the name uncultured bacterium. RNAcentral's name for it is "bacterial SSU rRNA". It matches the Rfam family "Bacterial small subunit ribosomal RNA", at positions 958 to 1375 of the family's 1533-position model. The record is from RNAcentral.
AACGCGAAGAACCUUACCUACCCUUGACAUGGUCGGAACCCUGCUGAAAGGUGGGGGUGCUCGAAAGAGAACCGGCGCACAGGUGCUGCAUGGCUGUCGUCAGCUCGUGUCGUGAGAUGUUGGGUUAAGUCCCGCAACGAGCGCAACCCUUGUCCUUAGUUGCUACGCAGGAGCACUCUAGGGAGACUGCCGGUGACAAACCGGAGGAAGGUGGGGAUGACGUCAAGUCCUCAUGGCCCUUAUGGGUAGGGCUUCACACGUCAUACAAUGGUCGGAACAGAGGGUUGCCAAGCCGCGAGGCGGAGCCAAUCCCAGAAAACCGAUCGUAGUCCGGAUCGCAGUCUGCAACUCGACUGCGUGAAGCUGGAAUCGCUAGUAAUCGCGGAUCAGCAUGCCGCGGUGAAUACGUUCCC